GACGAACGCUGGCGGCGUGCUUAACACAUGCAAGUCGAACGGAAAGGCCCUGCUUUUGUGGGGUGCUCGAGUGGCGAACGGGUGAGUAACACGUGAGUAACCUGCCCUUGACUUUGGGAUAACUUCAGGAAACUGGGGCUAAUACCGGAUAGGAGCUCCUGCUGCACGGUGGGGGUUGGAAAGUUUCGGCGGUUGGGGAUGGACUCGCGGCUUAUCAGCUUGUUGGCUGGGUAGUGGGUUACCAAGGCUUUGACGGGUAGCCGGCCUGAGAGGGUGACCGGCGACAUUGGGACUGAGAUACGGCCCAGACUACUACCGGAGGCAAUAGUGGGGAAUAUUGCACAAUGGGCGGAGGCGAGAUGCAGCAACGCCGCGUGCGGGAUGACGGCCUUCGGGGUGUAAACCGCUUUCGCCUGUGACGAAGCGUGAGUGACGGUAAUGGGUAAAGAAGCACCGGCUAACUACGUG
Molecule: ribosomal RNA, 468 nt
Filed under: uncultured bacterium
Lineage: Bacteria
Description: partial 16S ribosomal RNA
Rfam family: Bacterial small subunit ribosomal RNA
Source: RNAcentral